GAUGAAGAACGCAGCGAAAUGCGAUAAUUAAUGUGAAUUGCAGAAUUCAGUGAAUCAUCGAAUCUUUGAACGCACAUUGCGCCCCUUGGUAUUCCAUGGGGCAUGCCUGUUCGAGCGUCAUUUGUACCUUCAAGCUUUGCUUGGUGUUGGGUGUUUGUCUCGCCUUUGCGUGUAGACUCGCCUUAAAAUAAUUGGCAGCCGGCGUAUUGAUUUCGGAGCGCAGUACAUCUCGCGCUUUGCACUCAUAACGACAGCGUCCAAAAGUACAUUUUACACUCUUGACCUCGGAUCAGGUAGGGAUACCCGCUGAACUUAAGCAUAUCAAUAAGCGGAGGA
This 336-nucleotide unclassified non-coding RNA is filed under the name soil metagenome. RNAcentral describes it as "partial contains 5.8S ribosomal RNA, internal transcribed spacer 2, and large subunit ribosomal RNA". The stretch from base 1 to 120 matches the Rfam family "5.8S ribosomal RNA", at positions 35 to 154 of the family's 154-position model. The record is from RNAcentral.